RNAcentral lists this ribosomal RNA (481 nucleotides) under uncultured bacterium. RNAcentral's name for it is "partial 16S ribosomal RNA". It matches the Rfam family "Bacterial small subunit ribosomal RNA", at positions 28 to 507 of the family's 1533-position model. The record is from RNAcentral.
GAUGAACGCUGGCGGCGUGCCUAACACAUGCAAGUCGAACGGAGAUUACGGACGGAAGUUUUCGGAUGGAAGCCUGUAAUUCUUAGUGGCGGACGGGUGAGUAACGCGUGGGCAACCUGCCCUAUACAGGGGGAUAGCAGCUGGAAACGGCUGGUAAGACCGCAUAAGUCGGUUAAAUCGCAUGAUUUGAUCGGGAAAUGAACAAUCAGGUAUAGGAUGGGCCCGCGUCCGAUUAGCCAGUUGGCAGGGUAAAAGCCUACCAAAGCGACGAUCGGUAGCCGGACUGAGAGGUCGGACGGCCACAUUGGGACUGAGACACGGCCCAAACUCCUACGGGAGGCAGCAGUGGGGGAUAUUGCACAAUGGAGGAAACUCUGAUGCAGCGACGCCGCGUGAGUGAAGAAGCAUUUCGGUAUGUAAAGCUCUAUCAGCAGGGAAGAUGAUGACGGUACAUGACUAAGAAGCCCCGGCUAACUACGUG